Molecule: non-coding RNA, 97 nt
Organism: Equus caballus (horse)
Lineage: Eukaryota; Metazoa; Chordata; Mammalia; Perissodactyla; Equidae
Source: Rfam
GUGACUGCCAGAUGGGUGCUCUCUACUAGUGCUGUGCAGAGGCUUUUGCUGAGGCUGUUGUGAGACUGUAGGGUUUCCCCCUAGACUACAGAGCCAG